This 502-nucleotide ribosomal RNA is filed under the name Dasypeltis atra. RNAcentral's name for it is "partial large subunit ribosomal RNA". It matches the Rfam family "Bacterial large subunit ribosomal RNA", at positions 1824 to 2597 of the family's 2925-position model. Lineage: Eukaryota; Metazoa; Chordata; Lepidosauria; Squamata; Colubridae. The record is from RNAcentral.
AGCCAAACAAGUAUUAAAGGCGACGCCUGCCCAGUGAACAAUUAAACGGCCGCGGUACCCUAACCGUGCAAAGGUAGCAUAAUCAUUUGUCUACUAAUUAUAGACCUGUAUGAAAGGCAAAAUGAGGGUCUAGCUGUCUCUUAUAAUUAAUCAAUUAAACUGAUCUCCCAGUUAAAAAGCUGGGAUACAAACAUAAGACCAGAAGACCCUGUGAAGCUUAAACUUAACCAUUAAAUCAAAUAAUGAUAACUUUCGGUUGGGGCGACCUUGGAAAAAAAAAGAACUUCCAAUAUAGUGAUUAUAAUCCACUAACCACUUAGGCCUACAAGCCAACAAAGACCCAGCACAGCUGAUAAAAGAACCAAGUUACUCCAGGGAUAACAGCGCAAUCUUCUUCAAGAGCCCAUAUCAAAAAGAAGGUUUACGACCUCGAUGUUGGAUCAGGACACCCCGAUGGUGUAGCCGCUAUCAAAGGUUCGUUUGUUCAACGAUUAAUAGUCCU